RNAcentral lists this ribosomal RNA (253 nucleotides) under uncultured bacterium. Its description in RNAcentral is "partial 16S ribosomal RNA". It matches the Rfam family "Bacterial small subunit ribosomal RNA", at positions 524 to 776 of the family's 1533-position model. The record is from RNAcentral.
CACGUAGGGCGCAAGCGUUGUCCGGAAUUAUUGGGCGUAAAGAGCUCGUAGGCGGUCUGUUACGUUUGCUGUGAAAACCCUGGGCUUAACCCUGGGCUUGCAGUGGAUACGGGCAGACUAGAGGCAGGUAGGGGAGAAUGGAAUUCCCGGUGUAGCGGUGAAAUGCGCAGAUAUCGGGAGGAACACCAAUGGCGAAGGCAGCUCGCUGGGACGGUACUGACGCUGAGGCGCGAAAGCGUGGGGAGCAAACAGG